RNAcentral lists this ribosomal RNA (1640 nucleotides) under Salmonella enterica. RNAcentral describes it as "partial 23S ribosomal RNA". It matches the Rfam family "Bacterial large subunit ribosomal RNA", at positions 1179 to 2802 of the family's 2925-position model. The record is from RNAcentral. Lineage: Bacteria; Pseudomonadati; Pseudomonadota; Gammaproteobacteria; Enterobacterales; Enterobacteriaceae. RNAcentral also lists the same sequence under 1 other name.
GGCUAAACCAUGCACCGAAGCUGCGGCAGCGACACUGUGUGUUGUUGGGUAGGGGAGCGUUCUGUAAGCCUGUGAAGGUGUGUCGUGAGGCAUGCUGGAGGUAUCAGAAGUGCGAAUGCUGACAUAAGUAACGAUAAAGCGGGUGAAAAGCCCGCUCGCCGGAAGACCAAGGGUUCCUGUCCAACGUUAAUCGGGGCAGGGUGAGUCGACCCCUAAGGCGAGGCCGAAAGGCGUAGUCGAUGGGAAACGGGUUAAUAUUCCCGUACUUGGUGUUACUGCGAAGGGGGGACGGAGAAGGCUAUGUUGGCCGGGCGACGGUUGUCCCGGUUUAAGCGUGUAGGUGUGUGUUCCAGGUAAAUCCGGUUCACUUUAACACUGAGGCGUGACGACGAGGCACUACGGUGCUGAAGCAACAAAUGCCCUGCUUCCAGGAAAAGCCUCUAAGCAUCAGGUAACAUCAAAUCGUACCCCAAACCGACACAGGUGGUCAGGUAGAGAAUACCAAGGCGCUUGAGAGAACUCGGGUGAAGGAACUAGGCAAAAUGGUGCCGUAACUUCGGGAGAAGGCACGCUGACACGUAGGUGAAGUGAUUUACUCAUGGAGCUGAAGUCAGUCGAAGAUACCAGCUGGCUGCAACUGUUUAUUAAAAACACAGCACUGUGCAAACACGAAAGUGGACGUAUACGGUGUGACGCCUGCCCGGUGCCGGAAGGUUAAUUGAUGGGGUCAGCGCAAGCGAAGCUCCUGAUCGAAGCCCCGGUAAACGGCGGCCGUAACUAUAACGGUCCUAAGGUAGCGAAAUUCCUUGUCGGGUAAGUUCCGACCUGCACGAAUGGCGUAAUGAUGGCCAGGCUGUCUCCACCCGAGACUCAGUGAAAUUGAACUCGCUGUGAAGAUGCAGUGUACCCGCGGCAAGACGGAAAGACCCCGUGAACCUUUACUAUAGCUUGACACUGAACAUUGAGCCUUGAUGUGUAGGAUAGGUGGGAGGCUUUGAAGUGUGGACGCCAGUCUGCAUGGAGCCGACCUUGAAAUACCACCCUUUAAUGUUUGAUGUUCUAACGUGGACCCGUUACCCGGGUUGCGGACAGUGUCUGGUGGGUAGUUUGACUGGGGCGGUCUCCUCCUAAAGAGUAACGGAGGAGCACGAAGGUUGGCUAAUCCUGGUCGGACAUCAGGAGGUUAGUGCAAUGGCAUAAGCCAGCUUGACUGCGAGCGUGACGGCGCGAGCAGGUGCGAAAGCAGGUCAUAGUGAUCCGGUGGUUCUGAAUGGAAGGGCCAUCGCUCAACGGAUAAAAGGUACUCCGGGGAUAACAGGCUGAUACCGCCCAAGAGUUCAUAUCGACGGCGGUGUUUGGCACCUCGAUGUCGGCUCAUCACAUCCUGGGGCUGAAGUAGGUCCCAAGGGUAUGGCUGUUCGCCAUUUAAAGUGGUACGCGAGCUGGGUUUAGAACGUCGUGAGACAGUUCGGUCCCUAUCUGCCGUGGGCGCUGGAGAACUGAGGGGGGCUGCUCCUAGUACGAGAGGACCGGAGUGGACGCAUCACUGGUGUUCGGGUUGUCAUGCCAAUGGCACUGCCCGGUAGCUAAAUGCGGAAGAGAUAAGUGCUGAAAGCAUCUAAGCACGAAACUUGCCCCGA